AUAAGAAAAGAUAAAUUUGCAAAUAUUGCUGUUAUAAAAGUACAUGUGACACUCGUAAGAUUUGAAAUAGCCUUAUAUAUAAAAGAUAUAAUAGGACUAAAACUUUUAAUCUGGCUAUAGUCUUUUGGGUGUUGGUUAGGUCCAAAAGGCUAAAGGAGUUAAGUGUGUUAGAGCUAGAGUAGCUUUAGGAUGAGUGAUGUCCCCCUG
RNAcentral lists this long non-coding RNA (207 nucleotides) under Ananas comosus (pineapple). RNAcentral describes it as "long non-coding RNA (ACOM_LNC011245)". Lineage: Eukaryota; Viridiplantae; Streptophyta; Magnoliopsida; Poales; Bromeliaceae. The record is from RNAcentral.